Molecule: ribosomal RNA, 253 nt
Filed under: uncultured bacterium
Lineage: Bacteria
Description: partial 16S ribosomal RNA
Rfam family: Bacterial small subunit ribosomal RNA
Source: RNAcentral
UACGUAGGGUGCGAGCGUUGUCCGGAAUUAUUGGGCGUAAAGGGCUCGUAGGCGGUCUGUUGCGUCGGGGGUGAAAACUCGGGGUUUAACCCUGAGCCUGCUUCCGAUACGGGCAGACUAGAGGUAUGCAGGGGAGAACGGAAUUCCUGGUGUAGCGGUGAAAUGCGCAGAUAUCAGGAGGAACACCGGUGGCGAAGGCGGCAUUCUGGACCGAUAUUGACGCUGAGGAGCGAAAGCCAGGGGAGCAAACGGG